UACGUAGGGGGCAAGCGUUGUCCGGAAUCAUUGGGCGUAAAGAGCGUGUAGGCGGCCCGAUAAGUCCGCUGUGAAAGUCCAGGGCUCAACCCUGGGAUGCCGGUGGAUACUGUCGGGCUCGAGUCCGGAAGAGGAGUGUGGAAAUUCCUGGUGUAGCGGUGAAAUGCGCAGAUAUCAGGAGGAACACCAAUGGCGAAGGCAGCACUCUGGGACGUGACUGACGCUGAGACGCGAAAGCGUGGGGAGCAAACAGG
This 254-nucleotide ribosomal RNA is filed under the name uncultured bacterium. RNAcentral's name for it is "partial 16S ribosomal RNA". It matches the Rfam family "Bacterial small subunit ribosomal RNA", at positions 524 to 776 of the family's 1533-position model. The record is from RNAcentral.